ACCCGCACAAGCAGCGGAGCAUGUGGUUUAAUUCGAAGCAACGCGAAGAACCUACAGAUCUUGACAUCCAAUUGACCAUCUUUUUAAUCGAGAUUUUGCCUUCGGGUACAAUUGAGACAGGUGGUGCAUGGUUGUCGUCAGCUCGUGUCGUGAGAUGUUGGGUUAAGUCCCGUAACGAGCGCAACCCUUGUCCUUAGUUACCAGCACGUUAUGGUGGGCACUCUAAGGAGACUGCCGGUGACAAACCGGAGGAAGGCGGGGAUGACGUCAAAUCAGCACGGCCCUUACGUCCAGGGCUACACACGUGCUACAAUGGCCGAUACAGAGGGCAGCUACCUGGUGACAGGAUGCAAAUCUCCAAAGUCGGUCUCAGUUCGGAUCGGAGUCUGCAACCCGACUCCGUGAAGUUGGAUUCGCUAGUAAUCGCGCAUCAGCCAUGGCGCGGUGAAUACGUUCCCGGGCCUU
Molecule: ribosomal RNA, 465 nt
Filed under: uncultured Lachnospiraceae bacterium
Lineage: Bacteria; Bacillati; Bacillota; Clostridia; Lachnospirales; Lachnospiraceae
Description: bacterial SSU rRNA
Rfam family: Bacterial small subunit ribosomal RNA
Source: RNAcentral